GUGCUCACUUCAGCAGCACACAGACUAAAACUGAAACAACGUGGAGAAGAUAAGUAUGGCCCUGCCGCAGGGACGAUAUGCAAAUCUGUGAAGCAGUCUAUAUUUUC
Molecule: small nuclear RNA, 107 nt
Filed under: Peromyscus maniculatus bairdii (prairie deer mouse)
Lineage: Eukaryota; Metazoa; Chordata; Mammalia; Rodentia; Cricetidae
Source: RNAcentral